This is a small nucleolar RNA of Cercocebus atys (sooty mangabey), 88 nucleotides long. Ensembl annotates it as small nucleolar RNA, C/D box 35B. Its record names the gene SNORD35B. The record is from Ensembl. NCBI's taxonomy places the organism in Eukaryota, Metazoa, Chordata, Mammalia, Primates, Cercopithecidae.
GGCAGAUGAUGUCGGUUUUCACGAUGGUCUUCAGAUGCCCACGUGGGCACUGCUGAGAAAGCCACUUGGUUAAAACUGAUGCCGGAAA